GAACAUUGAAACUGGCUACGGGAAAUGAUUGGAUAGAAAAUAUUACUCUAUUCAUUUAUCCCCAGCCUACAAAAUG
This is a microRNA precursor of Microcebus murinus (gray mouse lemur), 76 nucleotides long. The record is from Ensembl. NCBI's taxonomy places the organism in Eukaryota, Metazoa, Chordata, Mammalia, Primates, Cheirogaleidae.